RNAcentral lists this transfer RNA (74 nucleotides) under Plautia stali symbiont. It matches the Rfam family "tRNA". Rfam says of the family: Transfer RNA (tRNA) molecules are approximately 80 nucleotides in length. Lineage: Bacteria; Pseudomonadati; Pseudomonadota; Gammaproteobacteria; Enterobacterales; Enterobacteriaceae. The record is from Rfam by way of RNAcentral.
UCCUCUGUAGUUCAGUCGGUAGAACGGCGGACUGUUAAACCGCCGUUUUAAGCGGCACGAAAGGAUCAGAAGAA